GACGAACGCUGGCGGCGUGCCUAAUACAUGCAAGUAGAACGCUGAAGGAGGAGCUUGCUCUUCUGGAUGAGUUGCGAACGGGUGAGUAACGCGUAGGUAACCUGCCUGGUAUCGGGGGAUAACUAUUGGAAACGAUAGCUAAUACCGCAUAAGAGUAGAUGUUGCAUGACAUUUACUUAAAAUGUGCAAUUGCAUCACUACCAGAUGGACCUGCGUUGUAUUAGCUUGUUGGUGGGGUAACGGCCUACCAAGGCGACGAUACAUAGCCGACCUGAGAGGGUGAUCGGACACACUGGGACUGAGACACGGCCCAGAAUGCUAAGGGAGGGAGCAGUAGGGAAUCUUCGGCAAUGGAAGGAAGUCUGACCGAGAAACGCCGCGUGAGUGAAGAAGGUUUUCGGAUCGUAAAGCUCUGUUGUAAGAGAAGAACGAGUGUGAGAGUGGAAAGUUCACACUGUGACGGUAUCUUACCAGAAAGGGACGGCUAACUACGUG
RNAcentral lists this ribosomal RNA (495 nucleotides) under uncultured bacterium. Its description in RNAcentral is "partial 16S ribosomal RNA". It matches the Rfam family "Bacterial small subunit ribosomal RNA", at positions 28 to 507 of the family's 1533-position model. The record is from RNAcentral.